UAAUACGUAGGGUGCAAGCGUUGUCCGGAUUUAUUGGGCGUAAAGAGCUCGUAGGCGGUUUGUCGCGUCGGAUGUGAAAACCCAAUGGCUUAACCUUGGGCCUGCAUUCGAUACGGGCAAACUAGAGUGUGGUAGGGGAGACUGGAACUCCUGGUGUAGCGGUGGAAUGCGCAGAUAUCAGGAAGAACACCGAUGGCGAAGGCAGGUCUCUGGGCCAUAACUGACGCUGAGGAGCGAAAGCGUGGGGAGCGAACAGG
This 257-nucleotide ribosomal RNA is filed under the name uncultured bacterium. RNAcentral's name for it is "partial 16S ribosomal RNA". It matches the Rfam family "Bacterial small subunit ribosomal RNA", at positions 521 to 776 of the family's 1533-position model. The record is from RNAcentral.